Molecule: long non-coding RNA, 3843 nt
Organism: Gorilla gorilla gorilla (western lowland gorilla)
Lineage: Eukaryota; Metazoa; Chordata; Mammalia; Primates; Hominidae
Exons: 2
Source: RefSeq, a predicted model, not a curated record
GGCAGUUGCUUUCCAGAAGUACUGACGCAGGCAGGGUGGACGCCGGCGCGCGGGUCUCCGCUUGGCCCGUAGGGACGCCCUUUUCCCGGCGUCCCCGAGAGAAGCCUCCAGAUUUGAAAAUCAAUUCAGCUUCGGGAGUAAUUUCGCCCUUCCCACAGUCACGCUCCAAUCCGGAAUCGAACCUGGUCUUUGGGCCUGGUGGGGACGUGUGCGGAGGCCCCCACUUUGAGACGUACACCCGGCCGCCACAUGCCGCGGCUUUCUUUCAUUUACAAAAGAAAGAAAAAAAAUCCGCAACAAAAGGCAGAGCCGUGUCCGCUUAGGUGCUUUCAUCCCUCAGAGAAAGGACAGAUGUGCCCAUUGUCCAGCCCGUGGCAGUUAUGGCCGGGUCAGCGCCAAGCCUCAGCCCCAGGCAAGCGGUGGUUACAAUGAGAAUAGCCUCUCAGAGCCGGGGUAUCUGGACUCAGAUAUGGAAUAAAGUGUGUGUAGCCUGUGCUGGGCCAGACUCAGACUGUAGGUUUGCUUGCUGGGGCACCGAACUGCAGCCCACCCGUGGUGUUUCCAUUGCAAAUGCUCCCAAGCCCUUAGAGAGGCCAAGGCUGUGGUAGUGGUGGUAGUUGGGUUUCCAAGGCAAAAGUUUGGGCUGGCCAACCCUUUGGAAAAAGUCCCCACCGGCCCAGGCAUGAGUAGGCCUAUCUCUUUGCCCAGGUCCCUGCUACCACCAGGGCAACAUCCUAAUCCAGGUAGGUCAAGUUCAGUGGAUACAGUCAACGUGACUUCCUUGAAGGCGGCCAUGUCCUGGGACUGGUUAAUCUAGCUGGUUUUAUCACCAGAGGCACUCCCAUCCCGUCCAAACAAUGCAUAUGGAGGCCCUGCAAAUAAUUCAUCUCAAUGGAUUUCAUGUCUACUUGCAUAAUGAACAGUUAGGAAUUUAGGAACCCCCAGAGAAGAAAAGAUAUUUUGGGGAAAAUACACUGAUGUAAAGGAACUCAGAAAACACGAUUAACUCUUUAAACUUGUAUCUAUAUCUACCUAUACAUACAUGCAUACACACAAGCACAAAACAUAUAUUUCCUGCCUAGUAUAUUACAGUACGUUGGUGGAAAGCUGCAUCUUUGGUUUUUAAUUGUUUCCGUUCUCAUUUCCUACAGCAUGAGACCAAACAAUGGGUUAAAGUAGCAGGCAGUCUUUCAGCUAAACAGUUGUCCCCCCACCCCCGCCCCAAUAUUUUAAUCCCGCUGAAGUGAUUGAUUUGCCCUUAUGACAACUAUCUUCCCAAAAGGCAGUUUGUUAAAAGAAAGAAAGAAGUAAAUACCACCAAGUGCACAAAUUGUUCAUGGUUUUCUCUUUGUGUAGCUAAUUAGGAACUUGAUCUUGGAAACCCUCCUUCAUGAGAGGCACUCAGCUGAGCCUCUGGAGUCCACCUGAAGAAGGCUGGCAUCAGUUUCCUCUGUUUUAUCUACUUCUUGCCCUUCCAUAUCCCAAAGAGAAGAUGCUCUGUCAAAGGGCUGUCAGCUGGUGCCAUCCGCAACUAACUCCACGUUCUGGGAGUUGCCGAGGGCUGCCUGGGCGGCCAUGCAAGGACACCAGACCACUCCGCUCGUAUCUCUGGUUACUUCCUGCGCUGGGGAAAAAAGAACACGCUUGCUCUCCUGGGUCCUCGGGUAAACUACAGGCGGCUUCUCCUGGGUUGGAAUCCGUUUUGGCGGUCGCCUACUUCCGCGAGGGCUUUUUCACGGCUUCAAGCCAAGAGCGCUGAAGGGAGAAAGGGUAUACUGAUGCCGUAGGGCUGAGGGAGGGGUUCCAGGCUCCUGGGGUGUUCUUCUGCAGCAGGACCCCUCGCUGGCCGCGGCCAGCCCAAUUCCGGAGGAGUUGGCCUCGUCUAGCCAACAGUUCAGUGGGAUUUCUUUCUUGGACAUAACUUUAUAUCAUUGAAAUAGUCUACAAAAGACACCAGCUCAAGCCGCGAGGGCGUUGAAUUGUCCGGAUUUGGGGUGGCGGUUAAUGCUCCUCUUCUGGUGCCUCCCCCGCUGGGGCCCUGCAUUCCAUUAGCCCCACGCUGGGGUAGAGAUGCCAAGUUUAGGGGCUGGAGAGGACAAGGGGAAGGACGAGAGAACUCUUGCACCGACGGAUGUAGUUCCAAGCGACCCGAAAUGAGGAAAACCCAGAAGGGGCGGACGGAGGGCAAAGUCGGCCCAGGACGAUCUUUAGGCGCACCAUUCUCUCGCCCUGGAGGGACAGGGAAGGGCGGAAGCGGAGGGUGGCUGUCCAGCCGGGAGCCUCUGAUCCACGGGGCUUGGACCAGCCACCCUACCCGAGGGCGACUGAGGACUGGGCGGCCGAGCUCGCGGCCCACUUAGCUAAUGCCGGGUAAUGCCGACCCCGGCCCAAGAGCAGCAGCUGCACUUGGGAAGGAAAACUCUUUAAACAAAUCAUUUUGGUGUCUAAUCAAUUAGUGUUUGCGCAGUCAAGUACCGUAGAUUUAACAGAAUAAUCGUUACUGCCCUUGUCUUUAUUUGACCCGCAGACACGUAGAAGAUUUAAAAAUGAAACGCCGGUGUUCCGGGCUCCCCACCCGUUGCCUUCGGCUCCCUCUGGGGCCUGCUAGGCCAGGUCGGGGCUUUUGCUUUCUCCAGGCCUAAUCUCCUCUUUGCCUCCCUCUUCAACCCUCCUUCCCCUUCGCACUUUUCCACACUUUACCUUGUUUUCUUGCCCUUCCAGCCCUGUCAGCCUCCCGAGUCUCGGUCUCCUCAUCCCCCCGUUCUUUACCCCCGUGGCUGGCACGAGAAACGGCUUCUGAUUGUGGGACACCCAGGAUUCUGGGCGAGCGCACCUGCCUUUUGGCCUGAGAGCCAUCUGGGUGUAGAAUUAGGGACUCGCCAAGCGCCCAGUUGUCUUUUCCCUGGACCCUCACUCUCUUACCCGUUCCUGAACCAGCCCAAGACCCGAGGGGUCCUAUGCGAGCUCUUUGGCUUCUGUGGAGCUUGGAAAAGACUUUUACCUGCGGGCGGGGUCUGCCUGAGUCUCUCCCGGUAAAUGCAGUGACCCAGGGCGCAGGACGGGGGUUGAGAGGAAAAGCUGAGAGUAUAGCCUUGGUCCCUAAAACCCGUUUGCAGGGCGGGGAAUUGGGUCUAACGGCGGGAGGGAGGAUGUUGUGGGGGGAAUUCGUGGGAGGCUUCCCAGCUGACUGUUGUGUGGUGACUGCACUCUCUGAUGCAUGCUUCUCUGGGCCAGGUUAUCUCCCAAGGUCCAGGGGUGCAGCUAGGAGGUUCUCCAGGCGCUUCUGAAUUGCUGCUCCUGCACCUCCCUCCUCACCUGGUGUCUUUUUCAGGCCUAACAGGUGUGGACGCCUGUGUAUGUGUAGACAGUCUGGUUGUGCGCCAUGCCUGGCCCUCAUGCCACCAACGCUGGGUUUCAGGAGCCCCACCAGCCCUGAAUCGAGGCUCCACAGGGUUGGAAGGAUGCUUACCAGGGCCAAGAGACCUCGAGGUGGGGCUGCGGGGCAGAUGGACCGGCGGGGUGAGGAAGUUUGGGCCACCCGAGUGGCCAAGAACACCUCCACUCCUUAAUUCCGCUAAUCAUUUAGCUCAGCAGGGAGGAUGAGGUUGGAGGCUGAUGCACCCGGGUAGUGGGUUGGUUAAAUAAGAGGCUGUAAUUCUAAAAGGGGGAGAGGGGGAUGAGCUGGAGGUAAAGCUGCGUCUUCCUUUCCACAUUUGGGGCUCUGGCUGCCUCAAAUUGAGCCUGGAAUGUUUAUACGCCCCCAGAACUGCCUCGCAGUCCCUGGUCUCCAUCAACCACCUGAGAAACUUCACUCUCAACAAUAGAUGAUUAUAAUGUACUUGA